AUGCAGAGCUGUCUACCACCUGUGCCAUCUCUGAUGCUGAAGUGGGCUGUUGGCAAGCUUGUCUGCCUGGGUGCCACUGAUCCAAGCCAAGUCAGUCCUGAGGUCACAAGAAAGGGCCAGAGGCUGUUUACUCUCCCAUUACCAGUGAAAGCUAGCAUACGCAAGCAGCCACUUCCCAUCGAUUACCUACCUGGAAAGCAGCCGCCAGAUGAGCAAUGUCACGUGAGGGCACAGGCGACAGAAUAUUUCUGGAGAAACCACACAGCUCUCCUGUCUGGCCG
Ailuropoda melanoleuca (giant panda) is the source of this 281-nucleotide long non-coding RNA. RefSeq lists it as uncharacterized. The transcript is spliced from 3 exons. NCBI's taxonomy places the organism in Eukaryota, Metazoa, Chordata, Mammalia, Carnivora, Ursidae. The record is from RefSeq and is a predicted model, not a curated record.